Molecule: long non-coding RNA, 451 nt
Organism: Dermacentor andersoni
Lineage: Eukaryota; Metazoa; Arthropoda; Arachnida; Ixodida; Ixodidae
Source: RefSeq, a predicted model, not a curated record
UAGCACUCUCGGAGCUGAACGUGCACAUAAACCGAAUUAUUAUAGGUUUCAGAGUAAGUUAUUACAAGGUUUCUUGAAACAGAUAUUUCUUUUGAUUUCAACAAUUUUCACUCAUUUACAAUUACAUGUGAAAGCUGCACAUGCUGGCCGUUGCAAAAGUUGAACAGGAGCUGGAACAAACCCUUGUGACCGCUUCUUCGGCGUUGAAGAAGUAACCUGCACACUGAAAUGAAUCUUUCACAGAACACAAUCACAAGACGUUUACUGUUCAUCAGUAUCGUACUGAUUGGUUUUGCUACACCUGUUAUAACCUAUCAAAACAGUCCGAAACCCGCUCGAGGCCAGAACAAGCCACCAAGUCCGGCCAUGAAAGCGGAAACUUCAGGACCCCUGCAAGGCCCACCAGUAAGUCUUAGUUCCGGAGGACGAACCGGAACACAGAACGCACAGG